Molecule: long non-coding RNA, 345 nt
Organism: Humulus lupulus (European hop)
Lineage: Eukaryota; Viridiplantae; Streptophyta; Magnoliopsida; Rosales; Cannabaceae
Exons: 3
Source: RefSeq, a predicted model, not a curated record
AGGUUGGGGAUCAAAUUGGCAAGGAGCAUUGCAAAGGUAAUUUGCAAGAGUUGUUAAACCCAGACAAAAAACAAGAUUUUAGUAAGAGAACAACAUCAAAUACAAUUUCAUUGGAGAUGGAUAAAAGUUGGAUCCAUCUUAACAGAGUAACGGUGGAAUAUGAGCAAAAAUCUAGAGAGUUUGCACUUGCUUGACUGGGCAGAUGUAAUUGUUGAUGAAGGUCGUUGGGAUUCUAGUGAUCCAAAUAUAACUGUACAUGGAAAGCCUCUUGGACCAGACUUUAUGCGAGUAUGGGUUGAUGUUGCUAUUGUAGCAGAGUCUUACUUAUUUCGUCCUAAUCAUGCG